GACGAACGCUGGCGGCGUGCUUAACACAUGCAAGUCGAACGGAAAGGCCCCCUUGUGGGGUACUCGAGUGGCGAACGGGUGAGUAACACGUGAGUAACCUACCCUUGACUUUGGGAUAACUUCAGGAAACUGGGGCUAAUACCGGAUAGGAGCUCCUGCUGCAUGGUGGGGGUUGGAAAGUUUCGGCGGUUGGGGAUGGACUCGCGGCUUAUCAGCUUGUUGGUGGGGUAGUGGCUCACCAAGGCUUUGACGGGUAGCCGGCCUGAGAGGGUGACCGGCCCCAAUGGGACUGAGGUACGGCCCAGACCCCUACGGGAGGCAGCAGUGGGGAAUAUUGCACAAUGGGCGGAAGCCUGAUGCAGCAACGGCGCGUGGGGGAAGACGGCCUUCGGGGUGGAAACCGCUUUCGCCUGUGACGAAGCGUGAGUGACGGUAAUGGGUAAAGAAGCACCGGCUAACUACGUG
This 465-nucleotide ribosomal RNA is filed under the name uncultured bacterium. RNAcentral describes it as "partial 16S ribosomal RNA". It matches the Rfam family "Bacterial small subunit ribosomal RNA", at positions 28 to 507 of the family's 1533-position model. The record is from RNAcentral.